This 412-nucleotide unclassified non-coding RNA is filed under the name Hevea brasiliensis (rubber tree). The record is from RNAcentral. Lineage: Eukaryota; Viridiplantae; Streptophyta; Magnoliopsida; Malpighiales; Euphorbiaceae.
UUUUUGUUAGACCAACUGAAAUACGUGGUCUUGUUUUGAUCUUUAUUGCCUGUUGUGUGCUUCAAUUCUCAAAAUUUAAACUCACAUCUCUUCCCUUUGGAAUGUUUUGUAAAUCAGGAUGCAACGUAAAUAUUGAGGUUUCUUUGUGUUGUCAGAUCCAAGAUUAAUGUUGAUUGUACCACUAGGGUGUAGAUAUUCAAUGUGGAACGUCUGAAGUGAAACCAGUAUGAAGUUUGAAGAGUGUGUUUGUGGGUGACAUUUUCUUUUUCUUUAUUCUCCAAUUUUUGCUGAUGAUACCUGGCAAUAUCAUAUUAUAAAAAAGAUGCAAGGCAUUAGCAACAAAAUGUUGCGUGGAAGAUAAAAACUGAAGGUACCAGCUGCUGACUGUUGAGCCGUUUCUGCGACAAGCAAG